UAUAUUUCCAGGAGAAUGAGGAGAACGGCGAGCCCGAGGUAGAUGAUGAAGAUGAUGAUGAAGUGGAUGAGGAGGAGGAGGAAGAUGACGUAGAAGCCGGCGAUGAGGAAGACGAGGAGGACGAUGACGAUGAACUUGAGGGCGGCACAAAACGGCCAGCUGACGACGACGAUGACGACGAUGAGGACGACGUUAAAACCAAGAAGCAGAAAACCGACGACGACGAUUGAUGCGUUUCCCUCGCUCGCGACUUCCCGCUGAAUCACUUCCUGCUUCUCCGCCUGCGACCGUUUUCAUUGGUCGCGAGGGGCAGGAGGACUGAUUCAAAAGGAAAGAAAAUUAUAAUAAAGUAAAAAAAAAAGAAAAAUCCAACAUGGUCAUUAGCAAGUAGAGUUCAACAAACAUCUACACACACACACACACACACACACACACACACACACACACACAC
Long non-coding RNA from Trematomus bernacchii (emerald rockcod), 451 nucleotides. RefSeq lists it as uncharacterized. The transcript has 3 exons. The record is from RefSeq and is a predicted model, not a curated record. NCBI's taxonomy places the organism in Eukaryota, Metazoa, Chordata, Actinopteri, Perciformes, Nototheniidae.